GGAGUUUGGACCGUGUCUCAGUUCCAAUGUGGGGGACCUUCCUCUCAGAACCCCUACUGAUCGUAGGCUUGGUGGGCCGUUACCCCGCCAACAACCUAAUCAGACGCAUCCCCAUCCUAUACCGGUAAACCUUUGCUUCAUUUCAGAUGCCAUCUACGAAGAACAUAGAGUAUUAAUCCGAUUUUCAUCGGGCUAUGCCCUACUAAGGGGAAGGUUGGAUACGCGUUACUCACCCGUGCGCCGGUCGCCGACAAGGUUAGCAAGCUAACCUCUCGAUGCCCCUCGACUUGCAUGUGUUAAGCCUGUAGCUAGCGUUCAUC
This 320-nucleotide ribosomal RNA is filed under the name uncultured Prevotella sp. RNAcentral's name for it is "partial 16S ribosomal RNA". The record is from RNAcentral. Lineage: Bacteria; Pseudomonadati; Bacteroidota; Bacteroidia; Bacteroidales; Prevotellaceae.